CCCUGGCCGCCGUCCUGAUCCUCCACUCCCCCCGCCGCCUCACUCACCUUCUCCCCCAUCCCUCCCUCUCUCUCUCUUCCUUCUUAGCCGGAACACGCCACCAAUGUACCCGCCUCAGGAUCUAGCUCACCUCGUAGACCAGCUAGAUGAUCUCCGGGCGACGUGACUGAUUUGCCUCCGCCACUGGACCCUUCUCCUGUUCUUGAUCCCUCUACUGCACGAGCAGCAGCAGCGACGACGCGGACGAACAAGCCAAGAACUCUUCGAAGAGGAGGAGGAGAGACAGAGAUGGCUAGGCUCAGUAGCAGCAGCAGCCUAGAGUACCACCGCUGCACGGAGAGAGAGCGCGCUCUGCGCGGAGGAAGAGGAGGAGGUGGUGGUGGUGCGUGCUUGGCUGUGUCUGCGCGGCGCUGCGCUGCGGCCAGCGGCUAGCUUUACUCUGAUUUAGCGCCAUUUCUGCGACUUUUUUUCGAUUUCUCCAUGGGCUGCUGCGAAAACGAGGCCCGAGCCGGGAGGGCCACGUGGGGGCCGACC
This 534-nucleotide long non-coding RNA is filed under the name Oryza brachyantha (malo sina). RNAcentral describes it as "long non-coding RNA (OBRA_LNC000508)". The record is from RNAcentral. Lineage: Eukaryota; Viridiplantae; Streptophyta; Magnoliopsida; Poales; Poaceae.